This 486-nucleotide ribosomal RNA is filed under the name uncultured bacterium. RNAcentral describes it as "partial 16S ribosomal RNA". It matches the Rfam family "Bacterial small subunit ribosomal RNA", at positions 29 to 507 of the family's 1533-position model. The record is from RNAcentral.
AUUGAACGCUGGCGGCAUGCCUUACACAUGCAAGUCGAACGGCAGCACGGGUGCUCGCACCUGGUGGCGAGUGGCGGACGGGUGGGUAAUACAUCCGAACAUGUCCUGCAGAGGGGGAGAGCCAGGUGAAGGCCGGUGUAAUACCGCAUACGAACUACGUACGAAAGAAGGGGACGUUCUGGCCUCGCGCCUGCGGGAUGGCCGAUGGCAGGUUGGCUAGGUGGUGGGUUAAAGGCCUACCAAGGCGACGGCCAAUAUCUAGUCUGUGUGGAAGAACAGCCAAACUGGGACUGGGACACGGCCCAGACUCCUACGGGAGGCAGCAGUGGGGAAUUUUGGACAAUGGGCGAAAGCCUGAUCCAGCAAUGCCGCGUGUGUGAAGAAGGCCUUCGGGUUGUAAAGCACUUUUGUCCGGAAAGAAAGCCUUGGCCCUAAUACGGUCGGGAGAUGACGGUACCGGAAGAAUAAGCACCGGCUAACUACGUG